AACUGCAAGUCGAACGCGAAAGUGGAGCAAUCCAUGAGUAGAGUGGCAAACGGGUGAGUAACACGUGGGUGACCUGCCUUCGAGCGGGGGAUAACGUCCCGAAAGGGACGCUAAUACCGCAUAACAUCCUGCCUUUUAAGAGGUGGCGAUCAAAGCCGGGGAUUCGCAAGAACCUGGCACUUGAAGAGGGGCCCGCGCCUGAUUAGCUAGUUGGUGGGGUAAUGGCUCACCAAGGCAACGAUCAGUAUCCGGCCUGAGAGGGCGGACGGACACACUGGGACUGAGACACGGCCCAGACUCCUACGGGAAGCAGCAGUGGGGAAUUGUUCGCAAUGGGCGCAAGCCUGACGACGCAACGCCGCGUGGAGGAUGAAGACCUUCGGGUCGUAAACUCCUUUCGAUCGAGACGAAUGGUUUCCGGGUGAACAAUCCGGAAAAGUGACGGUACCGAGAGAAGAAGCCCCGGCUAACUCCGUGCCAGCAGCCGCGGUAAUACGGGGGGGGCAAGCGUUGUUCGGAAUUACUGGGCGUAAAGGGCUCGUAGGUGGCCAACUAAGUCAGACGUGAAAUCCCUCAGCUUAACUGGGGAACUGCGUCUGAUACUGGAUGGCUUGAGUUUGGGAGAGGGAUGCGGAAUUCCAGGUGUAGCGGUGAAAUGCGUAGAUAUCUGGAGGAACACCGGUGGCGAAGGCGGCAUCCUGGACCAACACUGACACUGAGGAGCGAAAGCCAGGGGAGCAAACGGGAUUAGAUACCCCGGUAGUCCUGGCCCUAAACGAUGAAUGCUUGGUGUGGCGGGUAUCGAUCCCUGCCGUGCCGAAGCUAACGCAUUAAGCAUUCCGCCUGGGGAGUACGGUCGCAAGGCUG
Molecule: ribosomal RNA, 867 nt
Filed under: uncultured Acidobacteriota bacterium
Lineage: Bacteria; Pseudomonadati; Acidobacteriota
Description: bacterial SSU rRNA
Rfam family: Bacterial small subunit ribosomal RNA
Source: RNAcentral